This 432-nucleotide ribosomal RNA is filed under the name uncultured anaerobic ammonium-oxidizing bacterium. RNAcentral's name for it is "bacterial SSU rRNA". It matches the Rfam family "Bacterial small subunit ribosomal RNA", at positions 383 to 810 of the family's 1533-position model. The record is from RNAcentral.
GUGAUCAAGCGACGCCGCGUGCGGGAUGAAGGUCUUCGGAUUGUAAACCGCUUUUGUUUGGGGAGAAGGCCCAUAUCGUGAAUAUGGGAUUGACGGUACCAGACGAAUAAGCCCCGGCUAACUCCGUGCCAGCAGCCGCGGUAAGACGGAGGGGGCAAGCGUUGUUCGGAAUUAUUGGGCGUAAAGGGCUCGUAGGCGGAUCUGAAAGUCUGACGUGAAAUCUCCACCGCUCACCGGGGAGGGGCCGUUGGAUACUACAGAUCUGGAGUUCGGUAGAGGGUCGUGGAAUUUCGGGUGUAGCGGUGGAAUGCGUAGAUAUCCGAAAGAACACCGGUGGCGAAGGCGGCGACCUGGGCCUGAACUGACGCUGAGGAGCGAAAGCUAGGGGAGCAAACGGGAUUAGAUACCCCGGUAGUCCUAGCCGUAAACGAU